GGGAGAUGAGGAAAGUGAGAGAACAGGGCCUUUUCUGUGUUUUAUUUCUAAUCCGCAGGAAUCCAUUUUAGCCUUUUAUGGCUGUUGCACUUGCUGACAGGAUUUACAUUCUCCGUAUGUUAUCUGAAACAUCACAAUCUGUGGCUGUGGGAUUGUUUCAUGCCUGGGUUAAAAACACGCCAGCGCUUCUGGGAGGCUGCGGGGAGGCAGACAGAGAGCGGGGGAACGAGAAAGCAUUGCAAAAAGGGAGAGAAGGGGAAAGAAGGAGCCGAGCGCUUUGCAGGAGCUGCUGCUGGCAGAGUUCGUGCCCCAGACAAACUGAUGGUUACGCGAAGCAGGGAAGGUAUUACGAGCCCUUUGAUUGCAGCGACGUUGCAGCGCAGUUCUGCUCUAGGAAAGCAGCUGCGGAAAAAAGACAGCGCUCUUCUGAGUGUCCAGAGCCCCUCUGUGACUGGCCUUGGAGCCGAAGUACAGGGGACACCGUGCACCCGUCACAGCUCCAUGGGACGUACGGCUGUGCCGGGGUGCUGCCUGGAUACAGAAGUUUCCUUCUUCAAGUGCUCCUUGAGAAUAUCUUCAUUUUUAAGGGCCUCUUUGGAAGAAACAGAAGAUGAUGGCAUUAAAAUGCUGACUUUGUCAGUCGUUGGUUGAGAGGGGUUGAUGGUUGGACCUCGUGAUCUCAGAGGUCUUUUCCAACCUUAACGAUUCCAUGAUUCUAUAACAUAAUGCUGCUUUCCAAUAGCUGCAAAUACUGUGGUGCCUAUCGGGGGGAACCACGAAAGGACACUGGUCUUCCAUUGCCAUCAUCCCAUACGAUGAGCAGAGCCCAGACUCCCAGAAAUCAUGGAUCUCGUUUUAGUGUCUGGGCUGAUCUCCUUUGGCUCUUCUGGGUCUGCAGUUCUCUCUGAUAUCCCCCGCUCAGUCGGUAGACGUGUCUCUGAAUGCACAAGAAGGUGCCAUUCUACGUAGUUGGUUUUCUGAUCAUGACCAGACUCUAAGCUCUUAAGGUAGAGACUUCAGUUUUUUAAUAACUCACGGGAGAACCCAGGGAAAAUGUAAGUUUUAUGGAGUCUAGAGAAUAUUUUUAAAGGAUUUAGAUGUCUGGAAAAAGUGUCUUAGGAGGUUUAACUGCUUUUCAGUGGAAAAAAAGUACAUUAACAAAUAUUCUUGUUUCUUCGUUAGUCCCUUCCGGAGCAGAACAGCAGCCACGUGCUCUGAGAUCUGGGAUCAGGAGGCCGUGGGCCAUCUCCAAACUGGUGCCAGGCAGCGCAGCAUCGCAUGCCUUGCAGGGAGGACGUGCGCUUGCUGGAAGCGAGCACGUGAUGGGAAAAGGGAGAGAGAAAGAAGAAGGAAAGAAGGAUUGAGAUCACCAAAGUAAUUGGCUCGGAGGCCUGUGGAGCAGCAGCAGGUCGGGCUGUACAUUUGUCUGUCUCUCCGUCAAGUUGUACAGAGCCCAUGUCUGCCUCGGACUUCCCCAGAGCUGGAGUAAAUUAGGAGUGGCUCAGCGGGGUCAAGUGGGCUUAGUUGUCAUUUACACCAACACCUCUUUAUACAUUACGCCAGCUUCCAGCGCUGCCAGACUGGUGUGAGGGGACCUUCGUGGAAAUGAGAACCAGGCCCUGGAGGCUGUUCUACCAGGGCAGCACUCGCUAUCCCCAACCCUGAGCAUUCGGGCCAUGGGACUGCCCUGAAAUAAUGCAGAUUUAAACCUCUUUUUUUUUUGUGGGGGAUUUUUAUUUAUUUAUUUAUUUAUUUAUUUAUUGGUCUUAUGUCUUCUGUCCUUGGCUGCAAAGCCUGAAAAUGUUCUCUUUUGAAAUGUGAACAAACGAACGAAUGAUAACGUGUCAAGAAAUCACGGGACUCCAGCAGAUGGGGCUCAAAGAAAGGAAUGCCAAAAAAGCAGCAAACUGACGGUGCUGCUGGGUGCCACUCCGGGCAGGAUCACACCUUUCCCGUGGGCAGGACAUCUCAAUGCAUUUUGCCCUUCUCCUGGCUGCCACCUGGGUGACACUUCUUGGUUUCCAGGCACAUACUGCCUGACUGAAGCUGAGUCCUGAGACCCAAAAAUGGGUGCUGGCUCCGCUGCGGGGAGGCCAGACUUGGCCUUCAACCUGGUGGAAGCCCACAGCCACAAGGAGUGUAGUACCCUCACACAGGGCAUGGGCUUUUCAAACCCAAGAGCAAAAGAAGAUGGAAAAAAGAGUGAAAAAUUCAGCAAGGUUUUAACCCUGUGCUCUCCCAGCAGGUGUUUUUUUUGGCUUGGUUUUACAGCCAGAGCUGAGAUUUGAAAUUCCACCCAAACUUGGAAAUUCAAAGCCCAUUUUCCACUUCUGCAGUCGCUCGUUCUGCAAAGCAGAGGAGAAGGGACUUGCAAAAACUUUUGACUUGAGGUUUGCAGCAGGCCAGAAGUCAGCCUUUGUGCAGCUCACAGUUGGUCCAAGGAGAGGAAAAUGCCUGUGCCCCCAUAAUCCAGCUGUGCAGAGCUUCUCACUGAAUUACCCUUGUGUAAGACAUCUGAUGCAGUCUGUGUUAGAGUCGUGCCAGAAAGAAGGCUUUUCUUAGCCUCCGCAAUGUGUGGUCACAUGUGGUAAUGCAAAAUUAGUGCGAGAAUAUGGGACUUUAGGAAAGCCAGCUGUGUUGUCAGGGCUUGGCCUGCUGGUUGGCUUCAGCCCGAAGAAAGAGUUCAUUGCCAGCAUCCGCAGGCUUGAGGGCGACAGGGAAAGUCUGAUCUGCCUGCUGUAUUUCAGCCAUGCAAAAAGCUGGAUGGAUGCUUUUGUUUCAAUUUAUAUGCCCUAUUUCAAGUGAAUGAAAAAGGCCAAACCAGAGCCCCUCUGCCUUCUGCAUGUUUUUUCUUCAACUGAAUCUUCUUCCCACAUAGCUCUACCUCCUACCAACAGCAGUGCGGUCAGUGGAGAGGAAAGAUGCUGAAAAUGAUCCCUGCGUUAUCCAGAUCAGUGCAUCUCGUCCUGCCCUGCACUGCGGGCAGAACAUUGCUGAGAGCAGGGUGGAGAAAAGCGAGUGAUGUCCUACAGGUGGGGAAGGAACACCAACAGGUCCAAGGGACCGCAGUGCCCUGCAGCUCCCCAGCUCUCCACCUGUGAUGGGUGAGUGUGGGCUGGAGCCCUGGGCACCACAAGCUGCUUUGGGACUGCAGCCCUGAGAUCAGGGCUUUCUGAGAUGGGUAUUUACCCAGCGCAGGGCAUCGGGUUAAGUCUGGACAAAUGGAGACACUGGAAUUACUGAGUAAAAUGUCCUGGCCUGUCUUCUGCAGGAGGUCAUCUAGAUGAUCUGUUCGUCCCAUCUGGCCUUUAAAUCUACUAAUCUAUUUUCCCUUCCAGGAAAUAUAACUACAUUCUGAGAACAACAGCCCCUUAGGAAGAAGAAAAAAUAAGGAAAGAAAGCACGCCUUUGAAAAACAACAGCAAAGAAAAAAACCCUUCAACUAUAAAAUAAACUAAGGUACAAGAUGCAAUUAACAAUGCACAAACAGCAGAGCCCAGAAUGUAAAUUGUAUUUAAAUAGGGCUGUGAAGAAUGUUUCAGUCCCCUAAAUGGCUUCUCUCUCCUGCUGCCUUGAACCUCCAAUCAAGCCCUGCCUGGGAGUAAUUUGGUGCUGGAAAUUGUUGCCACACGAACAGCUGAAGGCUGGCAGGGUCACCGGCCCCCCGUGUCACACCCUGUCAUUUUAGAUUAAGAUAUGCAAAGGCGACACGGCUGCGAACUUUCCCUUUGCUGCCAUGGCUGCGUCCAUCCCCUCGACUGUAAUGAGAGGAAGGCGUAAUUGGAGUCAACUGCUUGAUUAUGAUAAUUGCUACUGUCUGGGGGAAGAAACAUUUGCGUCCCGGAGCUCGAUCCGCGCUGCACCUUUGGGGUGAUUGCUGUCUGUUCGCCGGCAGAUGGGCCCUGCACAGCAUCCCUCGGCCCCUGACCCCAACCCCACCACUUGUUGGCUCCUUCUCCCGCAGGGUCACGGGGCGUUGGGCUGCUCUCUGCCUCCCACCGGAGCGUCGCUCCUGAAGGAUUUAUCCCCUCAGAGGAAAAGAGCCUUUUGGAAAUUUAUCCCCAGCUCUUCACAGCAGCACAAGUGGGAGAUGAGGCGCCGUAUAUUUUCCGCUGGGAUAUUUAUGGCUUUCAUUGUACAUCCCAGCAACAAUCUGUGGGAAAUGCCUCCCGGGAGCUCAGCGGUCCGCCCGUCAGCAGGGAUGCUCUGGGCUCAGGGCAGAGGGAUGGCAGCGAGGAGAUGAGCGUGUGGUGCUCAGAGCACCCAGCACAGCUCUGUGCCACCUCCCAGCAGCUCCGUCUGUGCAUUGGUGCCAGUAACCUGCCCAGCAGUGGUGUGAGCGCAGAGGCACAUAAAGCCCACGUGUGUAAUUAAGGUGGCAAGAGGCAUUUCGUUAAUUAACGGCUAUUAUUUGUUAACAUCAAGCCUUAAGUGCAAAGCUCAACUCUAGCUGUGAAGCAAUAAGCACAGCCUGAGCAACAACAGUAACUAGCCAACAAAGUAAUUGGGUCGUUAUUUCCACGAUAUCUUAAAAGUUUAACAAGAUUUUCUUGUUUUAAACAUUCACAUUCCAGAGCGUGGAGGGGAAAGCACUGCCUGCAUGGAGGGAACGAUGUAAAAAUCAUUGGAAACAGAGCAGGGCUGCAGGUGAUGGGUGGGUUUUCUGCUGAGCAGGGAGCUGAGCCCCACUCACAGCCAGGUGUGUGGGUCGGGGCUGCAGCGUGCCGUGCUGGUUGUGCACAGGGAUGGUGGGCAGGGGAGGCAUGGGCAGCUAGCUCCUGUUCUGCUGCGUUUAGGAAGUGAGCUCGUUUGAGUGAGUAUGAUUUUCCUCUUUGUUACUAACAAGGUGCCUUUCUGUGGGGUCCUGGUGGGCUCUGUGUUAGCGGAGGGAUCAUGUUGAGCAGCAGGAGGGUGUCCCAGCACCAGGGUCAGGCACGGAUGGAUCCCCGUGCAGUGUGAUAAGAGAGGAAGACGUUUAAUCUGCUUUCCAGGGUAGAUUAAGAGCCCCCGUAGACUGUAGCUAUGCAACAGCGUGCGUCUGACAGUGCAGAGCUCUGAGCAAAGGUGUAGCUGUUGUGAUAAAACAACUGCCUGCAUUUCAUUAACAAAACAGUGCCAAAGUGUCAUUAAACAAUGGAGGGCUCUAAAUAAAUAACCCUGGGACUGCUUGCCAGGCAGAGUGAGUCAGGAGGAGACCACUGCAGCUGUACCUGUGCACCCACAUACCUCAGUGCAGAGGGAGAAUCCAGAGGGUCUCACACCCACCUGAAGGGCCGGACCUGCAGCUCUCACUGCUGUUCUGCUUGGUGCUUGUUUCCACGAGAAGUAAUCCGGCCACUUUGCAAGCAGGUGUGUUAGCUUAGAUCUGCAGGAGAGGAGCAUUUGCUGUGAACACAGCUCGUAUCUGUGCAGAUAGUGCUGGCAGGAGCUCUGCCUGGCUGCCCGCCUGGCUGGAGGCUUGUGUGUACCUAGGAAAUGGCUUGCCAGCUCUAACCUAUUCAUUCAAAGUCAGCCUUCAGUUAGAGCUCACACCCUUUCCUCCAGAAAAGAUUCAUGUGCUGUUACUCAUUUACUACUAUGGCCUUUUUUUGGCAUCGCCCUGGAACGCGGGCCGGCCGGCUGCAGAGCAGGCAGCCCCAGCUGCUGAGGGAGGUGCCCUGGUGGCACUCAGUGUGAUGAGUUGGGACCCUGCAGCUCGGGUCCGUGACACUGCUGACUCUAUUAAUUUAUGGGAUAACCCGUCCUUUGGGAGAGUUCCUUCCUAAUCUCCAUUAGUUAGAGAUUGCUUUAUCCUUUGCAGCAAGGAAUUUUCAUCCAUUUACUCUGUAAGCUUUCUUAAAGUUUAUCCGUGUGAUUCUGGAUAUCGUUUAUUUCAAUUUGUCUUUCUUUACUCUUUGUUCCAAACCCACUGCACCUCGGCCUCAGGAAUGUCCUGGGGAGUAAGCAGAGUCGGGUCUGCAGGUGAAUUCUCCCUCCACCUAUAAAUACGGAUUCUUUUGACAGUUUUGUUUUAUUCCACCAAAAAUUGCCAAAGUACACUCAGAGCCUGUUCUCUCACUGUAUUUUCUUUUUACAUAGGAAAUGCCGAAGGCAGCUGACAGAAACUUCUCGUAUAAUUGCAGCUUUAUUUUGCCAAAUUCUGAGCCGUCAUUUGCUGCCAGCAGUCCCACCUCUUCCAUCCAGGAGCUGGUGACAUUGAUGGAGCUGCAGAUCGGAAGCUGUUCCCUGGAUGAGGUGGGCAGCCUGCAGCCCUCGCCACGCUUUUCCCACCGCACUGCUGCCCGCCCUGAGGUCUGCUCCAGCACAGGGAGGUCUGGCACUCUUGAACCUGAGGUCAAAAACAAGAGGGAGGAAAAGAAUGGCCUUCAGGCCAGAGGAAGAAACCAGGGCAACCAGGCUCUUAACGUGAUAAAAGGGCUUUAUCUCAAAGCACUUAAACAAAACACACAAGCCUGAGAGAAGAGGCUCUGUCAAGUAUCCCCAGGGACAUGGGGAAAUUGCAAAUCCCCGCAGGACAGAGGGGCUCUUUCUUCACUGUGUGCAGAGCCAGGAGCUGGGGCUGGGCAGGUGAUGGGUGCUGGGGAAGGGAUGCAUGAGGGAUUUCCCAUUUGCAGUGGUGCAUGGGCACGGAUCAGACUGUGAGCUGUUAGAGAGUAGAUCAAGGGCACGGGGAGCGGGCAGCAGCGCUGGAGAGGGGCAGGAGGGAACGGCAGAUGGGACGUCCAGCAGCAGGUGGGCACGGUCCCAUCCCCUGUAUUUGGGGUGUCAGUGUACAUCAGUGCCACCUCUGUGCUUGGUG
Molecule: non-coding RNA, 6799 nt
Organism: Meleagris gallopavo (turkey)
Lineage: Eukaryota; Metazoa; Chordata; Aves; Galliformes; Phasianidae
Source: RefSeq, a predicted model, not a curated record